AGGACGAACGCUGGCGGCGCGCUUAACACAUGCAAGUCGAGCGAGAACCAGGGCUUCGGCCCUGGGGACAGCGGCGAACGGGUGAGUAACACGUGGAUAACCUGCCCUCGGCACCGGGAUAGCCCGGGGAAACCCGGAUUAAUACCGGAUAGCCUUUCCGGCUUUCGAGUCGGUUCGAAAAGGUAGCUUCGGCCUCUGGCCGAGGAUGGGUCCGCGGCGGAUUAGCUUGUUGGUGGGGUAAUGGCCUACCAAGGCACCGAUCCGUAGCUGGUCUGAGAGGACGAUCAGCCACACUGGGACUGAGACACGGCCCAGACUCCUACGGGAGGCAGCAGUGGGGAAUCUUGCGCAAUGGGCGAAAGCCUGACGCAGCGACGCCGCGUGAGGGAGGAAGGCCUUCGGGUUGUAAACCUCUUUCAGGAGGGACGAAGCUACUCGGGUUAAUAGCCCAGAGGGUGACGGUACCUCCAGAAGAAGCCCCGGCUAACUACGUGCCAGCAGCCGCGGUAAUACGUAGGGGGCAAGCGUUGUCCGGAUUUACUGGGCGUAAAGAGCGUGUAGGCGGCCAAACAGGUCCGUUGUGAAAACUGGAGGCUCAACCUCCAGACGUCGACGGAAACCGUGUGGCUAGAGUCCGGAAGAGGAGAGUGGAAUUCCUGGUGUAGCGGUGAAAUGCGCAGAUAUCAGGAAGAACACCAAUGGCGAAGGCAGCUCUCUGGGACGGUACUGACGCUGAGACGCGAAAGCGUGGGGAGCGAACAGGAUUAGAUACCCUGGUAGUCCACGCCGUAAACGAUGGGUGCUAGGUUGUGGGAGGGGGUCGACUCCUUCCGUGCCGUAGCUAACGCAUUAAGCACCCCGCCCUGGGGAGUACGGCCGCAAGGCUAA
Molecule: ribosomal RNA, 888 nt
Filed under: uncultured bacterium
Lineage: Bacteria
Description: bacterial SSU rRNA
Rfam family: Bacterial small subunit ribosomal RNA
Source: RNAcentral